This is a long non-coding RNA of Daphnia pulex (common water flea), 358 nucleotides long. RefSeq lists it as uncharacterized. Lineage: Eukaryota; Metazoa; Arthropoda; Branchiopoda; Diplostraca; Daphniidae. The transcript has 3 exons. The record is from RefSeq and is a predicted model, not a curated record.
UUCUAUUGUCGGUGGAGCCUCUUUUUUAGGUGGCUGUGAAUAAGUGGCUGUAUAAUGUCCACCAGGUAGCGCGAGUGUCUUCAGGGACGCUUAGCGGCCAUUUUGAUCCAAGACGCAGCAGAAGUUGGUUGUGACGUUUCUCACGAUGAAAAUUAAAAGGUAAUUUAGCACGUAGAAACCAAGUUGCCAAAUGAUUCAUCUGAGACUUGGAAUUGCCUGUACAUUUCCGAAAUGGCGUGCCUCGUGUGUCUCGCUGCCUGUUUUUUGGCUUACGUCUCACCCCAUUCAACAGGAAAAAGUAAAACAAACGCUGGUGGUUACCUUGUUGCAGCCAAAUGGUGAAAGGUGUGACAAAGGC